CCCUAGUAACGGCGAGUGAAGCGGGAAGAGCUCAAAUUUAAAAUCUGGUAAUCUUUGGUUGCCCGAAUUGUAAUCUAGAGAAGCGUUUUCCGUGCUGGACUGUGUACAAGUUUCCUGGAUACGGAACAUCAUAGAGGGUGAGAAUCCCGUCCUUGACACAGACUCCCAGUACUUUUGUGAUGCGCUCUCGACGAGUCGAGUUGUUUGRGAUUGCAGCUCAAAAUGGGAGGUAAAUUCCUUCUAAAGCUAAAUAUUGGCGAGAGACCGAUAGCGAACAAGUACCGUGAGGGAAAGAUGAAAAGCACUUUGGAAAGAGAGUUAAACAGUACGUGAAAUUGUUAAAAGGGAAACGCUUGAAGUCAGUCACGUUUGCUUGGACUCAGCCUUACUUCGGUUUGGUGCAUUUCCUUGCAGACGGGCCAGCGUCCAUGUUGUUUGCCGGAAAAGGGGUGAGAGAAUGUGGCUCCUUUGGGAGUGUUAUAGCUCUCACUCGUAUGCGGGGAACGAUAUGGAGUGGUACAGCACACUUCGGYGGUGCUUGUGCUGGCAUAAUGGCUUUAAACGACCCGUCUUGAAACACGGACCA
This 586-nucleotide ribosomal RNA is filed under the name Clavulina alpina. Its description in RNAcentral is "LSU rRNA". It matches the Rfam family "Eukaryotic large subunit ribosomal RNA", at positions 78 to 668 of the family's 3401-position model. Lineage: Eukaryota; Fungi; Basidiomycota; Agaricomycetes; Cantharellales; Hydnaceae. The record is from RNAcentral.